This 239-nucleotide ribosomal RNA is filed under the name uncultured Glomus. Its description in RNAcentral is "partial 18S ribosomal RNA". It matches the Rfam family "Eukaryotic small subunit ribosomal RNA", at positions 569 to 814 of the family's 1831-position model. Lineage: Eukaryota; Fungi; Glomeromycota; Glomeromycetes; Glomerales; Glomeraceae. The record is from RNAcentral.
AGCAGCCGCGGUAAUUCCAGCUCCAAUAGCGUAUAUUAAAGUUGUUGCAGUUAAAAAGCUCGUAGUUGAAUUUCGGGAUCAGCAGGUUGGUCUUGCCACUGGUAUGUACUAGCUUGCUGAUUCCUCCUUCUUGUAGAACCGUAAUGCCAUUAAUUUGGUGUUGCGGGGAAACAGGACUGUUACUUUGAAAAAAUUAGAGUGUUUAAAGCAGGCCAGCGCCCGAAUACAUUAGCAUGGAA